CCGCGAAUGUCUAAGGUUGGCUGGCCAGCAGAGUUUGGACGGUUGAACACACUUUUUGGUUCUGCCUCUGCAUGGUGGCCAGUUUCACAAAGAGGCUGCAGGAAGCUGCUUCCAGCAGUCUGAGUCCUGAGGAGGAGACGAUAACAGUGGGAGAAGCACCUGGUAACAGCGGCACUUCAUCCAGGAAGAAAACAGGAUCUAAAAUAUAAACAACAUCCUUACAACACAAAAUAUGAGCGUCCAUCAUGGACCAACCAAUAACUUCAAUAAAAGUGCUGUAUCCCCUGGCAGAUG
Molecule: long non-coding RNA, 294 nt
Organism: Homo sapiens (human)
Lineage: Eukaryota; Metazoa; Chordata; Mammalia; Primates; Hominidae
Product: long intergenic non-protein coding RNA 1483
Source: Ensembl